UAGGGAAUCUUCCGCAAUGGACGAAAGUCUGACGGAGCAACGCCGCGUGAGUGAAGAAGGAUUUCGGUUCGUAAAACUCUGUUGUUAGGGAAGAAAAAAUGUAUAGUAACUAUAUACAAAAGAGACGGUACCUAACCAGAAAGCCACGGCUAACUACGUGCCAGCAGCCGCGGUAAUACGUAGGUGGCAAGCGUUGUCUGGAAUUAUUGGGCGUAAAGCGCGCGCAGGUGGUUUAGAAAGUCUGAUGUGAAAGCCCACGGCUCAACCGUGGAGGGUCAUUGGAAACUAAUAAACUUGAGUGCAGGAGAGAAAAGUGGAAUUCCUAGUGUAGCGGUGAAAUGCGUAGAGAUUAGGAGGAAAACCGGUGGCGAAAGCGGCUUUUUGGCCUGCAACUGACACUGAGGCGCGAAAGCGUGGGGAGCAAACAGG
This 429-nucleotide ribosomal RNA is filed under the name Verrucomicrobiota bacterium. RNAcentral describes it as "Verrucomicrobia bacterium partial 16S ribosomal RNA". It matches the Rfam family "Bacterial small subunit ribosomal RNA", at positions 355 to 776 of the family's 1533-position model. The record is from RNAcentral. Lineage: Bacteria; Pseudomonadati; Verrucomicrobiota.